CCUACGGGGGGCAGCAGUGAGGAAUAUUGGUCAAUGGACGAGAGUCUGAACCAGCCAAGUAGCGUGAAGGAUGACUGCCCUAUGGGUUGUAAACUUCUUUUAUAUGGGAAUAAAAUGUUCCACGUGUGCCUUUUUGUAUGUACCAUAUGAAUAAGGAUCGGCUAACUCCGGGCCAGCAGCCGCGGUAAUACGGAGGAUCCGAGCGUUAUCCGGAUUUAUUGGGUUUAAAGGGAGCGUAGGUGGAUUGUUAAGUCAGUUGUGAAAGUUUGCGGCUCAACCGUAAAAUUGCAGUUGAUACUGGCAGUCUUGAGUACAGUAGAGGUGGGCGGAAUUCGUGGUGUAGCGGUGAAAUGCUUAGAUAUCACGAAGAACUCCGAUUGCGAAGGCAGCUCACUGGACUGCAACUGACACUGAGGCUCGAAAGUGUGGGUAUCAAACAGGAUUAGAUACCCGUGUAGUC
Molecule: ribosomal RNA, 460 nt
Filed under: uncultured bacterium
Lineage: Bacteria
Description: partial 16S ribosomal RNA
Rfam family: Bacterial small subunit ribosomal RNA
Source: RNAcentral